GUCAAGCACGCCGACACAAGUACAUGCAGUGAGUUCGUAGGCGUGGAUGGCAACCCUCCUGCCUCAGCCUCCCAGAGUGCCAGGAUUCCAGCCUGCUGUUGGUGAAAAACAGUCCAACAGUGAGGCUCAAGCCGACGACGUCCCAAGUAACUACCUUCUGUCACAGUAUCGAAUCCCCUCUCAGGGGAGUGCCAGCCCGGACUCACCCUCGCUCUGCAGCUCCCGCGUUGUACGGCGCCCACUGGACUCUGCACCAUGCGUCUCACCGCACCUCCACCGCCUCUCACUGCCCCUGCCCGGGUGGCCACCAGUUCCACCCUCCUCCCUGUAUUCUUUUCUCUCCCUCCUUUUCCAGACGGCACACGUCAGCGAGAGCAGUGGUGUUUGCCUUUCCCUGGGCGGUUGUCCUUUCUCUGAGGGAUCCAAGAGAUGCAAUAAUUCCACAAUCAAACUAUUCACCUUAAAUUUGAAAGUCUGGAAAUAGAGCUCAUUGCCCAGAGGAGGAAAAAACGGAUGUGGGGCCUGAUGGAGAACCUCUAAUCUAUCUUUCUCUGCUAAAUAGCAAACACGUUAGAAAGGAUACAGAGCUUCACUAGACAAGACGGGAGGAAUUCACCAAUGGUUGUCAUAUUGCAUAUUGUUAUCUUCAAGUUAGUUGUUCAGAUGACCAGCUAUAAGCAUGCAACAUCGCUUUGUAUCAUUUCUAAUGUUUUUUUUUUUUUAAAUUUUUUUUCUCUUUAAUUGUUUGAUCAAUCUUGCAUUCUUACAUCUGGUAAUCUGAGCAACUUGGUUGAGGAUAACAAUAUGUAAUAUAACAACCAAUGUUAAUUCCUGUCAUUCCAUUUUGGAACCCUGUAUCAUUUUUAUUGUUUUUGUCCAUGUUGUUGUUAUUUUGUUCUUUUUAAAAUUCUCUUUAAAGUAAAUAACAAACAACUUCCAGAACACUGUGUUUGUGCUACCGCCUACUAACUUGUAAUUACAUGUUUCCACUUCUUUCUCUUAAAGAAGAAAUUAUCUUACCUGUGUCCGCCAGGAAAUGCCCCGCAGAAUCUCUGCUUCCGAGGUCAGCAAUGCAAGGAGAGGGGCUCCCUGCCAGCAGCUGCUGAGCCACAUGCAGGUGGUGUCCUUGGCUCUUCACCCAGGGGACAUCAGGACGGGAAGCCUGUUCUUCUGAGGGUCAUGUGCCAGCCCCAGGCGUGGUCAUGGCUCUGAUUCUGGAAGGUUCUCUCUUGACCCAGGUGGAACUGGUUUGUAGGGGACUCUCCAAGUGCACUUUACAGGGAAGGUGUCCCGCUGCCCACAUGGCCGCCUCGGGAGAUCAGUUUGACCUUGGACCUGUGUGUGACACCACUGUCAGCGUGACCUCACGACGGCUGUUGGUUACCCAUGUGUC
Long non-coding RNA from Chinchilla lanigera (long-tailed chinchilla), 1393 nucleotides. The record is from Ensembl. Lineage: Eukaryota; Metazoa; Chordata; Mammalia; Rodentia; Chinchillidae.